CAAUAGCGUAUAUUUAAGUUGUUGCAGUUAAAAAGCUCGUAGUCGGAUUUUGGCUGAGAACGAACGGUCCGCCGUUAGGUGUGCACUGUUUGGUCUCAGCUUCCUGGUGAGGAGGUGUGCUUCACGGCCACUUAGUCACCGUGGUUACUUUGAAAAAAUUAGAGUGUUCAAAGCGGGCUUACGCUUGAAUAUAUUAGCAUGGAAUAACACCAUAGGACUCCUGUCCUAUUUCGUUGGUCUCGGGACGGGAGUAAUGAUUAAGAGGAACAGUUGGGGGCAUUGGUAUUUCAUUGUCAGAGGUGAAAUUCUUGGAUUUAUGAAAGACGAACUUCUGCGAAAGCAUUUGCCAAGGAUGUUUUCAUUA
Molecule: ribosomal RNA, 364 nt
Filed under: uncultured eukaryote
Lineage: Eukaryota
Description: partial 18S ribosomal RNA
Rfam family: Eukaryotic small subunit ribosomal RNA
Source: RNAcentral